This is a long non-coding RNA of Zingiber officinale, 693 nucleotides long. RefSeq lists it as uncharacterized. The record is from RefSeq and is a predicted model, not a curated record. NCBI's taxonomy places the organism in Eukaryota, Viridiplantae, Streptophyta, Magnoliopsida, Zingiberales, Zingiberaceae. The transcript is spliced from 2 exons.
UCACUUGAUAGCUAUAACGCUAAGUCACAAUGAUGAAUCGGCGCAAAUAAAUUCAUCGGUUACCUAUAAUGAUCUUAUUUUUAUUUGGAAUUCUAGCCAUAACUUGCCAAUGAUAUUUUGAUUCUUAGAUGAAUUUACAAAUCAAUGAAGUAUAUUUAUAAAUGGGUAUUUUCUUAUUGUGAAAAGGAUUUUGGAGCUUGCAUCUGAUAUAUUUCAUGUAUUUCUAGGAUGGUGAUACACUGAAUUCAGGUCAAUUAAGUGCCAAGCAAGCAGAUCGAAAGUCUCUUCUGAAAAAGCUGGCAACAGAUCUAUGCACCAGUGAGCAAAGGAUACUAUUCCGUGCACAAUACAUACUAAGGAGGAGGUUGCAGGACAUGAGGAACGGAGAACUAAGAGCCUUAACAAUAUUAAAUGGGUUCAGAAAACUUUUCAAAUAAGGAUAGUGGAGAUCGUGUGACAUCCCGGAUCCUGUCAAUGAUAUGAUGUUGGAGCUAUUUUCAUACUUUUGUUGCUAAAUAUAUGUGAUCCGUCAGUGGAGGAUAACAAUUCUACUGUUGCUAGUAACUCAGUUUGUUGCUGUCAUUUUGUAAUGACGGAAACAGAUGAUCGAAACAACAGUGAUUAAUAAGUUCUGUUCUUUUGAACCGCCGUGGAGGCCAUUUUAAGCUAAAAACUCCGAAUCAUUAGGUGUCA